GCCUCCUGUUUAUAUAUAUGAGGUCCAGCCUGCCCAGUGACUCACAGUUCAACGGCCGCGGUAUCCUAACCGUGCGAAGGUAGCGUAAUCACUUGUUUUCUAAAUAAAGACUAGUAUGAAAGGCACCACGAGGGUUAAACUGUCUCCCCCUUCUAAUCAGUGAACCUAACCUCCCCGUGAAAAGGCGGGAAUUUUACUAUAAGACGAGAAGACCCUAUGGAGCUUUAAACACCAAUACACCUGCCAACACACUCUAGCCCAAGGGCUCUUAAUAUCCGCACGUGUUAAUGUGUUUUUGGUUGGGGUGACCACGGAGAAAAACUUAUCCUCCCUAAUGAAAAAUUACCUUAAACAACAAGUCACAACUUUAUGUAUCAACAAAUUGACAUCCAUUGACCCAAUAUAUUGAUUAAUGAACCAAGUUACCCUAGGGAUAACAGCGCAAUCCACUUCGAGAGCCCCUAUCGACAAGUGGGCUUACGACCUCGAUGUUGGAUCAGGGUACCCAAGUGGUGCAGCCGCUACUAAAGGUUCGUUUGUUCUAACGAUUAAAACCCUA
Molecule: ribosomal RNA, 559 nt
Filed under: Pristimantis savagei (Pyburn's robber frog)
Lineage: Eukaryota; Metazoa; Chordata; Amphibia; Anura; Strabomantidae
Description: partial 16S ribosomal RNA
Rfam family: Bacterial large subunit ribosomal RNA
Source: RNAcentral